UACGUAGGGGGCAAGCGUUGUCCGGAAUCAUUGGGCGUAAAGCGCGUGUAGGCGGCUUGGUAAGUCUGCUCUGAAAGCCCGGGGCUCAACCCCGGGAGGCGGGUGGAUACUGUCAAGCUCGAGUCCGGAAGAGGAGAUUGGAAUUCCUGGUGUAGCGGUGAAAUGCGUAGAUAUCUGGAGGAACACCGGUGGUGUAGACGGCUUUCUGGACCGUAACUGACGCUGAGACACGAAAGCGUGGGUAGCAAACAGG
Molecule: ribosomal RNA, 253 nt
Filed under: uncultured bacterium
Lineage: Bacteria
Description: partial 16S ribosomal RNA
Rfam family: Bacterial small subunit ribosomal RNA
Source: RNAcentral